This 87-nucleotide transfer RNA is filed under the name Gammaproteobacteria bacterium. RNAcentral's name for it is "tRNA-Leu". It matches the Rfam family "tRNA". Rfam says of the family: Transfer RNA (tRNA) molecules are approximately 80 nucleotides in length. Their secondary structure includes four short double-helical elements and three loops (D, anti-codon, and T loops). Lineage: Bacteria; Pseudomonadati; Pseudomonadota; Gammaproteobacteria. The record is from RNAcentral. RNAcentral also lists the same sequence under 1 other name.
GCCCGGAUGGCGAAAUUGGUAGACGCAAGAGACUUAAAAUCUCUCGACCUAUGGGUCGUGCCGGUUCGAUUCCGGCUCCGGGCACCA